This 933-nucleotide long non-coding RNA is filed under the name Capsicum annuum. Its description in RNAcentral is "long non-coding RNA (CANN_LNC020473)". The record is from RNAcentral. Lineage: Eukaryota; Viridiplantae; Streptophyta; Magnoliopsida; Solanales; Solanaceae.
GAUGGUGGCGGUGGUGAGGGUGAUGGUGGGGGCGGGGAGUUGUAGUGGUAAACGGGUGGUGGUGGAGGAGAUGGUGAUGGAGGUGGCUCUAUGCAAGGAGGGGGUGGGGGUGGGGGUUCUAUACAAGGUACCGGGGAUGGAGGUGGAGGCAAAUGAGGCGGUGGAGGGGAGGAGUAUACUGGUGGAGGAGGUGAAUUUGGUGGUGGAGGUGAUGAGUAUAUGUAUACAGGUGGUGGAGGUGGUGAAUUUGGUGGUGGAGGAGGCGGAGGUGGUGGUGAAUUGUAGUAGUAAGGUGAAGGGGGUGGAGGUGAGUGAGCAAGCGGUGGUGGCGGAGGAGGUGGUGAAUUUGGUGGUGGAGGUGGUGGUGAGCGUACACAAUAAGGUAAUGGUGAUGGAGGAGGAGGUGAUGGUGGUGGUGGUGGUGGUGGUGGCGAGUAAACAGGUGGUGGAGGAGGUGGUGGUGAUGGUGGAGUAGGAGAGGGUGGUGGUGGCGAAUAAACAGGUGGGGGGGGUGGAGGAGGUGGAGGUGGCGGAGAGGGAGGUGGCGGAGAGGGAGGUGAAUAAACGGGAGGUGGAGGUGACGGAGGAGGCGGAGGAGGUGAAUAAACGGGAGGUGGAGGCGGAGGAGGCGAUGGAGGAGGUGGUGGUGGUGGUGAAGGUGAAGGAGGAUUAUAAACUGGUGGUGGCGGAGGCGAAUAGACGGGCGAUGGAGGGGGAGAAAUGGGCACGACGACAACAGGAGGCGGAGGCGGAGGCGGAGGCGGAGGCGGAGGCGGAGGCGGAGGUGCAGGCAAAACAGGAACAAACUUACGACACUUAAAAGCACUACAAUGUAUCCUUUUAGACAAAAAGGCCUUGCAUUGAGCAGCACUCCUUUGUGAAGGCCUAUUCACCAAACAAUUCUUUUCAUCAUGAAACUCCGAUAAUCCCAAA